CGCAUAGAAGUAAAGAGAUAGAGCUGCAAUGUCGCUCCCAAGAUUCAGCUUGAAGACUGUUUGAAUUUGUUGUCUUCAUCAUUUGAGAUGGCAGCAAUUCGCGCUUAUUGUCUUUGAGUGCACUUCUUGGAAGUGAGCACUGCGACCGGUAUCUGUGCCGGUAGAAGCCUGUUUAAUCGAGGACAGACCAAUUCGGCAUCUGCUUCCUAUUUUUCAGAAUCUACCUGGUUGCGGAAACCGUGUAACUUUUGCGUCGGCUGUCUCAGAGAGUGUGGUGGGGCAUCAUUUGCACGUCUGUAGCCUGCUUGCAAGCUAUGGUAACCCGUGGUGUCUUUCACUGUGCUUUUCUGAAUUGGCGCAAGGUGUCUGCAGUGUAUGUGUCAGCCACCUAUCUCACCCGUCUUGAAACACGGACCAAGGAGUCUAACAUGUGCGCAAGUCAUUGGGUGGUAAACCCAAAGGCGCAAUGAAAGUAAGCUUCUCACGAAGUUAGGCAAGAUCCCUAGUUUACUGGGGCGCAUUGCUGUCCUGUCUUAUUUGCAUUGUCAUUUAGGCAGAGAAAGAGCGUACAUGUUGGGACCCGAAAGAUGGUGAACUAUGCCUGAGCAGGAUGAAGCCAGGGGAAACCCUGGUGGAGGUCCGUAGCGAUUCUGACGUGCAAAUCG
RNAcentral lists this ribosomal RNA (665 nucleotides) under Oxystomina sp. SBN3. RNAcentral describes it as "eukaryotic LSU rRNA". It matches the Rfam family "Eukaryotic large subunit ribosomal RNA", at positions 386 to 900 of the family's 3401-position model. Lineage: Eukaryota; Metazoa; Nematoda; Enoplea; Enoplida; Oxystominidae. The record is from RNAcentral.